This is a long non-coding RNA of Rhineura floridana, 2279 nucleotides long. RefSeq lists it as uncharacterized. The transcript is spliced from 3 exons. NCBI's taxonomy places the organism in Eukaryota, Metazoa, Chordata, Lepidosauria, Squamata, Rhineuridae. The record is from RefSeq and is a predicted model, not a curated record.
ACUCUUCCUCUCUGUGAGUGACAGGAAGUCCUACAUUUCAGUCUGAGUUGUCAGCAGCUUAAGGAACUGAGGUGUAUGCAUAAUGCCAAAUGCUAAAAGAAAUGCAAAAGGAAUGCCUACAGAAAAGCUGCAAAAUGGCUUAAAUUGACAAGGAUUUUUGUUUGUUUGGCCAAGCACUUUUCAACUGCUGCUGUUGUUACCACCAUUCUGUCCAAGAAAGCUGUUUUGGAAUUAAAGGAGAUGGGUAAUACUCCCCAAACAAAACAGAGAAUACCUGAUUUUUUAAAAAAGGAAGGCAAAUCACUCCUUACAAUUAGAAUUACAGAAGAUAUACCAAAAACUGCCCAGCGGUGCUGUACAAAAGAGGCAACCAAUAAAAAGGGAACUAAAGGUGUAAGGCUUAAUGUGAGGUUUAUCUUAAGAAUGGGGGAAAACAUGUUGCUCAUAAACUGGUGAGAAACACAAAAGUACACAAAGAAUGGAACUGUUCCAAUUACUAGCAGUGUAACUGCUGAUGGAGAAGAUCAUUGUUAAAUCUACACUGGAAGCUGAUCCAGGCAGAGCUUGCUUUGGGCACUGAGGGAAUUCACCAAGAAGUGAUAUCCAAACUGCCUGGAAAUUUCACAUUGGAAGAAGCAAGCAAUAACAAGUGGAGCCUUCUUUUCCACUCUCUGGUUUGCAUAAAAGGAAAGCAACAGGGUGUGGGAAUCUGUCGACAUUAUGAACUUGCAGCUGGAGUCCAUUAUACGCUGCCAAUGUUGCCGUCCCAUAGAGCUGAUGACAAAUGGAAUUUUUGCUGCAGGGGAAAUCUUGACAUUUUGAACAGCAUUUCUGUUGUGAAAGUGGAAAGUGUGCGCGUGUGUGUACACGCACAGACAGAUGUUAAUUUUCAGGCAAAAACAAUGAAAGUCGAAUUAUUGAUGCUAAGAAGAAAACAUUGACGAUUUUCAGUCAAAGAAAAAAAGGGGGGCUUUUUCUUCUUUUUUGCUGUGAUUCAAAAUGUUUGCUUCUUGGCAUUAAAAACGUCAACCAGCCGUUUGAAAUGGAAUUGAGCUUUGGUGCAUCCAGGUAUAGAAUGUGCUUUUGCUGUAUGUACUUGUGGCAAUAUGAACACUUUCCUAAUAUUUAUAAACAAGCAUGUAAAUAAUUAAACACGGGGGAAAGAUCCCUGCCCUUCAUUCCAAGAAAGAGGUUCUGGGCUCAAGUCUUUCUGGAGACAUGCCCAUCUAUUUCAAAGCCAUUUCACUAAACUCACAAAAUGCAAUCCAGGACCUUAAUUUUAACAUGUAGCCCCAUUUUAUCUUAUGACAGCAUCCAUUAGAGACUAUGUUACCCUUUCUGCAAAGAAGGUAUGUAAAACAGGAUGUUGCUCUUCUGAACUAUCUCCUUACCCUUUUAUUUCCAGUCCUGAAGUUUAUUUAAAUAAUCCACAUGGCAGGCAGAUUCCCUCCCUUAGAUGUUUCUGUGAUGAGGUGACCUAUCUAUGAUUUCAGCUUCUUGCGACAGAAAGAAUUGAGGGACAAAUACUUUGCAUCCCUGGGAAAAGGGAGGAGGAAACCAUCUGAAUACAUUUGAGCUGUGACUCUCCAUCCCCAGAUGAUUUACACAUAAAUCUCUGGUUACCCCUUCAGAACACCUGCCUUAAGGUGGGAGAACAAAAGAGGGAAGGAAUAUUCUGCAAUGUGUGUAUGAGGGCCUCGUACCAUCAACAUUCAAAUUGCCAUGCAUCUCACAACUAGCAUUUCAAAGGUUCCCAAGCUCUGAUGCCUCCCUUUCAGAAAGACGGGGAGGAGAGAAGUUGGCUACAUUUCAAUGACCUGAUGAGAAAAUGUAUGUCGUUCCCUCUCUGUCACCCCCCCCCCCAUUUCUACAUUCUUACUCAUUUUUGAAGGCACCUUCAACUUUGCUCUGUUGAUGUAAAAGUUCAGAGAACCUAUUUAACAUGCUGAAUUACCCAUGUUUGAACUCUGAUAAUAGAAUUUCUCUUUCUCAUAAAAGUCUCAGCGGUUUAAUUUUUGAAUUUGUAACCUGUUAGUCCAAGCUUCAUUGAGCAGAAAUGUAGUUCCGAUUUCAGCCAUCACUGUUUCUGGCAUUCUUGGGAUAACUGUAAAUAAUUUAUUGCAAUCCUGCUAUCUGUUUACAUGUUUCUAAGGCAGGGCUGGAGAACUUGUGUCCCUCCAGAUGUUGUUGGACUCCAACUCCCAUCAGCUUCAGCUAGUAGGACCAAUGCUCAGGGACAAGGGGAGGGGAGGGCAGUAGCUGCACAGGUUUCUCAUCAC